RNAcentral lists this ribosomal RNA (336 nucleotides) under Triticum aestivum (bread wheat). RNAcentral describes it as "partial small subunit ribosomal RNA". The record is from RNAcentral. Lineage: Eukaryota; Viridiplantae; Streptophyta; Magnoliopsida; Poales; Poaceae.
AUGCAAGGAAUAAGUUCACGCAACCGGAUGAAGAUACACCCUUUUGGACAUCACUUGAAGGAAGUCACUAGAUACCUGAAUAUAGGAGUACCAAGCUUCACCGGAACCUACAACGCCACUUUACCUGAAGAAGAGCGCUGGAUGAUUCAAGUUCAAGUUCCAGGAAGGACGUUCAUGCUAGUCACUGAGCCCAUAGAGUUUUCUUUUGAUGCACGAACUUGGAGUCUAGGAAAGAGCAUGGCAGCUCACAUCGCCAUGGGACGCAUUGGAGAAGUCUACCGCAGUGAUCUCAAGGAUACUAUCUACUAUAUUUGUGGGCGCCGAGAUGAGCACUAG